Long non-coding RNA from Bos taurus (domestic cattle), 591 nucleotides. NCBI's taxonomy places the organism in Eukaryota, Metazoa, Chordata, Mammalia, Artiodactyla, Bovidae. The record is from Ensembl.
CCUGUCUCUGCCCACGUCUGCCUCUACCUGCCCGUCGCCAGCACACCUGAGGAUCCGAGGCUGCCUAACGGAGUGUGGGGCUGGUUCAGGGUGUUUACCAGACAGCCGGGAUAAGGGGUGGGACUCUGCUUUUCUUUCAGUGAGUCCUGUCGGAGCAGAAGGGGAUGUCCCCCUCAGCCCACCAUGGAUCCCCUCAGACUGGCUCAUCCACACCCUUCACCUCACAGGGCAGAGACCAAGAAGAGGAGGAAUGUGCUCGAGGGACCUCUUGAUUCUGGAGAGCAUCUUUUGUCUCCUGGGAUCAGGAUUGGAACAGGACCUCCUGAGGAAUGUGGAUACCUGAGGCUGUUGACCAUCUCAGCUUUCCUCUACUUAUUCCUCCCAUCGGUGGUCACUGGUUCGGUGGAUUUCCGUUUUCCUUUGUAAGCUUGGAAAAAAACACAUCUGGAUUGCACUGCUGUGCAUCUAAGUCCCGUCUGGAAAGAGAACCUCCUGGAAGCUCAUCCAUCCCUCUCUUGCUUCCUCCCCACCCGCUUCCCUCUCCUUCUCCUUGCCAAGCAGCGUGUUGUGUAGGUGUCAGACAGGCAUGGG